UACGUAGGUGACAAGCGUUGUCCGGAUUUACUGGGCGUAAAGAGCGCGCAGGCGGUCGUUCAAGUCGGGUGUGAAAGCCCCCGGCUCAACUGGGGAGGGGCAUUCGAUACUGAUCGACUCGAAGGCAGGAGAGGGUAGUGGAAUUCCCGGUGUAGUGGUGAAAUGCGUAGAUAUCGGGAGGAACACCAGUGGCGAAGGCGACUACCUGGCCUGUUCUUGACGCUGAGGCGCGAAAGCUAGGGGAGCAAACGGG
This 253-nucleotide ribosomal RNA is filed under the name uncultured bacterium. Its description in RNAcentral is "partial 16S ribosomal RNA". It matches the Rfam family "Bacterial small subunit ribosomal RNA", at positions 524 to 776 of the family's 1533-position model. The record is from RNAcentral.